UCUAACCUAAGCAACGUAAACCCUACCUUCUUUUACGUCCUUGUGACCCCAUAGUCACGCCAGUGUGAAUAAGUAUCUUCAAAAACAA
This is a small RNA of Kurthia sp. 11kri321, 88 nucleotides long. It matches the Rfam family "BsrC". Rfam says of the family: The 301 nucleotide sequence from Kouji Nakamura has been trimmed to a highly conserved ~85 nucleotide long core to form this family. The record is from Rfam. NCBI's taxonomy places the organism in Bacteria, Bacillati, Bacillota, Bacilli, Caryophanales, Caryophanaceae.